CCUAGAGUUGUGGGCUUUGCCUGCUAUCUCUUACCCAUGUCUUUUGAGUACCUUACGUUUCCUCGGUGGGUUCGCCCACCGAUUGGACAAAUUUAAACCCUUUGCAGUUGAAAUCAGCGUCUGAAAAAACUUAAUAGUUA
This 140-nucleotide unclassified non-coding RNA is filed under the name soil metagenome. RNAcentral's name for it is "partial internal transcribed spacer 1". The record is from RNAcentral.